RNAcentral lists this ribosomal RNA (361 nucleotides) under uncultured bacterium. RNAcentral describes it as "partial 16S ribosomal RNA". It matches the Rfam family "Bacterial small subunit ribosomal RNA", at positions 338 to 696 of the family's 1533-position model. The record is from RNAcentral.
CCUACGGGCGGCAGCAGUGAGGAAUAUUCGUCAAUGGGCGGGAGCCUGAACCAGCCAAGUCGCGUGAGGGAAGACGGUCCUAUGGAUUGUAAACCUCUUUAGACGGGGAGCAAUGCCGUGCACGUGUGCCCGGAGGGAGAGUACCCGCAGAAUAAGCAUCGGCUAACUCAGUGCCAGCAGCCGCGGUAAUACGGAGGAUGCGAGCGUUAUCCGGAUUUAUUGGGUUUAACGUGUGCGUAGGCGGGUUUUUAAGUCAGGGGUAAAAUGUCCGGGCUCAACCAGGGCCGGCCGUGGAAACUGGGGAUCUUGAGUGGGCGAGAAGUAUGCGGAAUGCGUGGUGUAGCGGUGAAAUGCAUAGAUA